AAGGGGAAAUCCCUUUUAGUUUUGAGAUUAGGUUGCCAGGCUUUGAAAAGGGCUUAAAAACAAAGUCAUGCUCAGCCUUUUGUGCGAGAGAUCCAGAUGUUAUGUAGAUUUUUUUUGUUUGCAUGUUCAUUUUGAGCGGACCAGGCUGUGAGCGCUGCGUUUACGUGUGCAUGUAGCUGGACUUUGCCGUAGAUCGACGUUGCGCUUGUGGAAUGUCUGCUGAAGUAUUAGCUCGGUAAUGCCUUCUAAUGGUAGUGCUAAUUACGGUGGGGUUAUUUAGCAAAUUAAGUGAGCUGAUGCACCCCUCACCCUUGAGCACCAAAUGAACUUUUCCAAGCACACACUUACACAGAGAGACACGUUAAUUUUGGUGUGUUUCUCUCCCCCAAUCGUUUUGCCGGAGCUACCCCAGCCUUACCUCAGAGCAGUCAAUUACUAAAGCUGGCCAGGAUCAUCAAUCAUGGGGGAUGCUUGAAGUUUAGGGGAGGAGCGAUGGUCAAACUAUCGAUUGCUGCAGUUUUGUCCUCCCCAGCCCCCCACCCUCGUUCACGGUCCCCUGCACAUAAAAUCUAAACCAGACUAUCCCGUUAAUAGUGGGAUUUAUCAAUGAUUAUGUACCCGGUUAUGAAUGUGGCCUCAUACAUAGCUGGCUUUUAAAAUACACGGAAGAAAAAUAUUAUUUAUUCGGUUAGGUUUUGGUUUAUUUUGCUUUGAUUUUCGUGGUGAUGACGAUGAUUAUAUUUUUUUUUUUUUCCUGAAACUUUUAAGAAAAUUACUCAAGGGGUAGUUACAGAUAUUUGGCCUGAUUUUAAUAGGCGUAGGGAAUGAGCUCCAGAGGUCAAUAAACCCCUCCAAAAUGAUGAAUGAUUGAGUACCUGUGAUGAUGAUAGUGAUUACCGGAGCAAUUAAACAGUUUGAUUAAAUGAGCCAUCAUAACAAUGAUGUCUGCGGGAAAUCAGCCCUCACGUAUAAAGAAAGAUAGUGUGAAGCGCUGACAAACGCCAGUGGGCAUUCCUGCGUGUUCUGAUAGCGCCGAGCCCUGCAGAGCAGAGCAGGGCUGUAUUUACAAAUAUGGGGGCAAUACCAAGAAAAGUCCUACUUUUAGCCAGAAUUGCACCCUGCUUAAAACCAGCCAGGAGCUGGGGAGCAGACCCGGGUUUGGUUUUUUUUUUUUCCUUUUUUUUUUUUAAUAUCUUUUUUUCCAGAGGAUCUCCUCCGAGAUUAAAGCUAGUCCUAAGAGCAACCGAAUUGCUGUGACUGACUUUCAUGGGACUGUAAAGAGAGCUGCCUAUAAAACUCCAGAAGAGGAGAGCUCUCCUUUUUACGCAGGAAUUCUUGGUCCGGAGAGAACAAUAUCCUCCUACCUCCUUUUGAAAUGAUACGGAGACCCUCACAACACACGGGCGAGCACUCCAAGGAUAUGUGUGUUUAAAGAGAUGUUGAAGAGAUUUCUGAGUUCACAAGAAAGGAGAGGUCUGUUUGGGGAAUGACAGCGCACCCGGCAGGUAUUUUCAUGACCGUCCCUUCCUUUAAAUCCUUCGAAUUUCUUUGGUUCUUUCCAUGCAGAAUAUCUUCCCCAGACCAAGUAUGAUUUCUGUUGUAAUUCGUGUGUGUGUAUUUGUGAACCCUUCUGAGGUAAAUUGAGAAGUAAGCUGCGCAAAAGGAGGAAAUCGCCCCUGGGGUGCUUUGUUUACUUUGGUUUGUAAAAUCCUGCUAGGAGAUGGUUUCCUCAGUGUGUGGCAAGUGUUUCUUCAAGAAAUUCAUCAGCCCUUCUACAGUUACUUCGAGCUCUGAGGGAAGAGAGCUGCCAUCACUUUCUCACAUCCCAAGGUGUUGCAUGGAGGAGAGAAGAAAAGGCUGGAGCAUUUAAUUGGGGGGGGG
This is a long non-coding RNA of Pezoporus flaviventris, 1881 nucleotides long. RefSeq lists it as uncharacterized. The transcript is spliced from 3 exons. The record is from RefSeq and is a predicted model, not a curated record. NCBI's taxonomy places the organism in Eukaryota, Metazoa, Chordata, Aves, Psittaciformes, Psittacidae.